RNAcentral lists this transfer RNA (65 nucleotides) under Acerentomon microrhinus. Its description in RNAcentral is "tRNA-Met". The record is from RNAcentral. Lineage: Eukaryota; Metazoa; Arthropoda; Protura; Acerentomata; Acerentomidae.
AUAAAGAUAAGCUAAUAAAAGCUCUUGGGCUCAUAUCCCAAAUAUAGGUAAUUCUUCUUUUUAUA